RNAcentral lists this unclassified non-coding RNA (230 nucleotides) under Hevea brasiliensis (rubber tree). The record is from RNAcentral. Lineage: Eukaryota; Viridiplantae; Streptophyta; Magnoliopsida; Malpighiales; Euphorbiaceae.
GGGUAUAUUCGGACUCCGCCGAAGACCAAAACCUGAUAUUUAAGUAGAAAAGGAUAGAGGGCGAUCCACGAUUCACCAAGUUUCGAGCCAAUGGCCCUCGGAAAUUUCUCGAUUAUCGAUAAAAGAUUCAAAACAGUAUAUAGAACUAACUGUAGUAAAUGUAGGGACAUUACCAUUAACACACUAGCAAAAGCAAAGGUCAAUAGACAUGUCCAGAAGCACCAAAAGAA